GGUUAUACAAAAUAUAUAAAUAAAUUUUAUUAGUAAAUAGUUAAUAUAAUUUAUUUUAAAUAAAAGUAUAUUAUUUAAGUUAAAUUUUUAAAUUAUUUUUAUUUAUUUAUUUAAAUUUAUGAGGCUAUAAAAUUUUAAAAAUAAACUAGGAUUAGAUACCCUAUUAUUUAAAAUGUAUUUUAUUUUAUUAAGGUAGUAAAAGUUAUUUUCUUGAAACUUAAAAAAUUUGGCGGUGUUUUAAUCUAUUUAGAGGAACCUGUUUCAUAAUCGAUAGUCCACGAUAAAUUUUACUAAAUUUUGUUAAAUUUAUAUAUCGUCGUUAUAAGAAUGUCUUAAAAGAGUUUAAUUUUCUUAAUAUAAUAUUAUAUUAUAUUUCAGAUCAAGGUGUAGUUUAUAAUUUAGAGAUAAUGGGUUACAAUAAAUUAAUUUAAAUGGAAUUAAAAUUGAAAUAUUUUAAUGAAGGUGGAUUUAAUAGUAAUAUAAAUUAUAUAAUUUAUAUGAUUAUAGCAAUAAAACAUGUACAUAUCGCCCGUCGCUCUUUUUUUAAAAAAAGAUAAGUCGUAACAAAGUAGAUGUACUGGAAAGUGUAUCUAGAAUGAU
RNAcentral lists this ribosomal RNA (600 nucleotides) under Sisyra nigra. RNAcentral's name for it is "12S ribosomal RNA". Lineage: Eukaryota; Metazoa; Arthropoda; Insecta; Neuroptera; Sisyridae. The record is from RNAcentral.